UAGGGAAUAUUGGGCAAUGGGUGAGAGCCUGACCCAGCCAUGCCGCGUGCAGGAAGACGGCCCUUCGGGUUGUAAACUGCUUUUAUGAGGGAACAAAAGGGUCCUGCGGGACAGAUUGCGUGUACCUCACGAAUAAGCACCGGCUAACUCCGUGCCAGCAGCCGCGGUAAUACGGAGGGUGCAAGCGUUGUCCGGAUUUAUUGGGUUUAAAGGGUACGUAGGCGGAAGGCUAAGUCUGGGGUGAAAGCCCAUCGCUCAACGAUGGAACUGCCCUGGAUACUGGUCAUCUUGAGUGCCGUAGAGGUAGGCGGAAUUCAUGGUGUAGCGGUGAAAUGCAUAGAUACCAUGAGGAACACCGAUAGGGAAGCCAGCUUACUAGACGGUUACUGACGCUGAGGUACGAAAGCGUGGGGAGCGAACAGGAUUAGAUACCCCCGUAGUCC
RNAcentral lists this ribosomal RNA (443 nucleotides) under uncultured prokaryote. RNAcentral's name for it is "bacterial SSU rRNA". It matches the Rfam family "Bacterial small subunit ribosomal RNA", at positions 355 to 796 of the family's 1533-position model. The record is from RNAcentral.